CCUCCUCCUCUCCUCCUCCUCCUCCUCUACCCACAAGGCCGGACGCUCUACCCACUCGUGGGGGGAUGCCUCUAGCCAUCAAGAAGCUAGCGGAGUCUACACCUCCUCCUCCUUCACUGGCUCCUCGGACUCUAAGGUUACACCCUGUCGCUACUGCUACCACCUCAAUUACGCGUACUGGUUCCGGCUCGAGGUCCUCGAAGUGUAACGGACGCAGUUUCCGAAGUGGCUCAACCUAGGGUCCUUCUUAGAAACCCAGGUGUGGGCGAAGACGUCGAAGUUAUAUCCCCUGAAGCUGGAGCUAUCUCUCAGAUUCAAACCGGAACCCGGCGGCGAAAUACUGUUAGAUUGAGGGUUCAACCUGUCCACGUACCACAGCAAACGACAGUUACAGUAAAGGCAGUUUCAUUGGCUUAGGCUGGCCCCAAUAGGUUAGUCGCAUAUACCGUGACAACAACGUUCCCUAUGCUAACUGAUGUCUACACAGAUAGAGAAGUCUGCACGUUCCCUUCUAGGGGUCUAGUAGUUGAGGUUUCAGGUAAGGGACAAAGGAACCGAAACUGAAUGAGCAUAUAUGACUAGUUUAGGUUUAUAACAAUAGGAGAAGAGUAUUUAUACGACAUAUGGUAUUUUCCACACACACACGACUAAAGUGGUAUAUUAUAAUAUACUAACGACCACGUGAUCACUCAUCCAUGUGAUCAGACGAUAGGAUAGUUUUGAAAGAACUGGUUUAUGUUUGACCUUACGUUUGUCGAGGUAAGAAGUUAUAUCAAACGAUUUUAAACGAUCCAAAUACGGGACAUGGGAAGCCGUAAAGAACAUAUACAUGAACAAAGGAACAUUCUUGUUCAGGACGAGACGGUCGUAAUACACAACCACAAAUAAGUCUUUGCAAAGAACAGUAAGAACGAACGUUAAUGGUGAUAAGUCUUCGAAUUGUAGCAUAACCUAUGUGAAUACAAACGUUUUUACCAAACACUCAACGGUAAAACUAAGUUUUGUAACUAUCGAAGUACUACAUCGAUAACGUCGAAUGACAAAUAGAGUACUACAUCGAUAGAAAGAGUCGAGAGUACUACAUCGAUAGAAAGAGUCGAACGACAAGAACGUACUACAGGUUCGAUACAAAACAGUUACAUCAUCAAGGGAUCAUAUGUGGUGAGAAAGUUGUUUAAACCACGUAAAAGUAUAUAGAUAAUCUAAAGAGGAAAAUCAAUAAAAGUGAACAAGUUUUGAACAACGGAAAAUUGAAUUACAUUCUAAAUCAACGAAUAAAAGAUGUGACCAGACUAAUUAACGAAUUGAAGCACACUCAAGCACACUCGAACGAGAUGAAUGAUGUAUCUCUGUAUAAAUAGAAUUUAAUAAAACGUCCUACUAUACGAUUGUAACUAUCCAGGUGCCGCUCCUAAUCAAGUCAAUCUAUUAUAAAUAAAACUCAACUUAGACUCCCACUUCCCACUACGACCGCUGCUUCUAAAAUCGUUACCACACCAUCACGAGGUACAACCAGGGAUACUAGGACUUGGUUAGUGUUCCCACGACUCGUCAACCGAUUCGUCUCACCUCAACCACGAACGUUGACAACUUUCAGGUCACCGUCGAUCGGAACUUCAGUUACAAAACUUUCCUCGUCGUGGAAAGUCACCGUUUUAUACACGACCCUGAUCACUUUUGGGCUUCUGAGUCUACUAACACAUACUAUCGUCUCUAUGUUUCUCGCCGAGGAGACAACACAAUUGAGCGUUGGAGCAUCGACAGGGACGGGGCCUACUGCUGCUUCUACUUUAACCACAGUUACAAGCGAAGGAACUACUACCGCUACUGCAGCUACUACUCCUAUGUCCGUGGAACCAGUUCGAUCGUAUGGGACGACUUCUCGUUCAAACGACAGUGGCGCGGACCCUCGACGUUCACUUCCAAAGGACCUGACGGUAGGACACGUUUGGUUACCGUUUUGUACAGAAUUGUUCUCCCUGGUCAUACGGGUCCCUAAUAUGAACGGGAUCCAUACGCGGAGCCAAGACUAACCAGCACGAGAUCUUAAAGACAAGUACGGGCAUCAUGUACAUUCUUCUUAACACGGACACGACAACAAAAUGGGCACCUACCAUUACCUCCCUACAUUACUUGGUUGGCGCAGAACAGAGAGAUAAAUACUUAUUUAACCGUACGGUACGCGGGACAACAUGUAAAAAACAUACUUACUUACUUACUACUUACCUACCAAGGUACUAAAUAUUGUGCU
RNAcentral lists this ribosomal RNA (2251 nucleotides) under Triticum aestivum (bread wheat). RNAcentral describes it as "partial small subunit ribosomal RNA". The record is from RNAcentral. Lineage: Eukaryota; Viridiplantae; Streptophyta; Magnoliopsida; Poales; Poaceae.